UUAGAUGUCCGGGGCCGCACGCGCGCUACACUGAAGGACGCAGCGUGUGUUCUCCCGGUCCGGCGGGGCCGGGUAACCCGCUGAACCUCCUUCGUGACGGGGACGGGGGAUUGUAACUGUUCCCCUCGAACGAGGAAUUCCUAGUAGUCGCGGGUCAUCAGCCCGCGGCGAUUACGUCCCUGCCCUUUGUGCACACCGCCCGUCGCUACUAGCGAUUGAAUGGAUUAGUGAGGUCUUCGGACCGGCGCCCUCCUCCGGACCCCGCGUCCGGGGGGUCCUGCCGGAAAGAUGACCGAACUUGUCCGUUUAGAGGUAGUAAAAGUCGUAACAAGGUUACC
Molecule: ribosomal RNA, 338 nt
Filed under: Leptopholcus kandy
Lineage: Eukaryota; Metazoa; Arthropoda; Arachnida; Araneae; Pholcidae
Description: bacterial SSU rRNA
Rfam family: Eukaryotic small subunit ribosomal RNA
Source: RNAcentral